AUAUCAAUAAGCGCAGGAAAAGAAACCAACAGGGAUUGCCUCAGUAACGGCGAGUGAAGCGGCAACAGCUCAAAUUUGAAAUCUGGCCUCUUGGGGUCCGAGUUGUAAUUUGUAGAGGAUGUUUCGGGUACCGCCUCGGUUUAAAUUUCUUGGAACAGAAUGUCAAAGAGGGUGAGAAUCCCGUCUUGGACCGGCGGUAGGGCCUAUGUGAAACUCCUUCGACGAGUCGAGUUGUUUGGGAAUGCAGCUCAAAAUGGGUGGUAAAUUUCAUCUAAAGCUAAAUAUUGGCCAGAGACCGAUAGCGCACAAGUAGAGUGAUCGAAAGAUGAAAAGCACUUUGAAAAGAGAGUUAAACAGUAUGUGAAAUUGUUGAAAGGGAAGCGCUUGCAACCAGACUUGAGCGCGGCGGUUCCCCCUUGCUUCUGCUUGGGUUACUCCGCCGUGUCCAGGCCAACAUCGGUUCUGGGGGUCGGUCAAAGGCUCUGGGAAUGUAUCUACCCACGGGUAGACUUAUAGACCAGGGUGUCAUGCGACCUCCCGGGACCGAGGAACGCGCUUCGGCUCGGAUGUUGGCGUAAUGGUUGUCAGCGACCCGUCUUGAAACACGGACCAAGGAGUCUAACAUCUAUGCGAGUGUUUGGGUGUCAAACCCGGAACGCGGAAUGAAAGUGAACGGAGGUAGGAAGCUUCGGCUGCACUAUCGACCGAUCCUGAAGUUUACGGAUGGAUUUGAGUAAGAGCAUAGCUGUUGGGACCCGAAAGAUGGUGAACUAUGCCUGAAUAGGGUGAAGCCAGAGGAAACUCUGGUGGAGGCUCGCAGCGGUUCUGACGUGCAAAUCGAUCGUCAAAUUUGGGUAUAGGGGCGAAAGACUAAUCGAACCAUCUGGUAGCUGGUUCCUGCCGAAGUUUCCCUCAGGAUAGCAGUAACGUUUUCAGUUUUAUGAGGUAAAGCGAAUGAUUAGAGGCCUUGGGGUUGAAACAACCUUAACCUAUUCUCAAACUUUAAAUAUGUAAGAAGUCCUUGUUACUUAAUUGAACGUGGACAAUUGAAUGUACCGUUACUAGUGGGCCAUUUUUGGUAAGCAGAACUGGCGAUGCGGGAUGAACCGAACGUGAGGUUAAGGUGCCGGAAUGCACGCUCAUCAGACACCACAAAAGGUGUCAAUGCAUCUAGACAGCCGGACGGUGGCCAUGGAAGUCGGAAUCCGCUUAGGAGUGUGUAACAACUCACCGGCCGAAUGCAUUGGCCCUGAAAAUGGAUGGCGCUUAAGCGUGCUACCUAUACCUCGCCGUUAGGGUUGACAUGAUGCCCUAACGAGUAGGCAGGCGUGGAGGUCCGUGACGAAGC
RNAcentral lists this ribosomal RNA (1348 nucleotides) under Fonsecaea monophora. RNAcentral describes it as "LSU rRNA". It matches the Rfam family "Eukaryotic large subunit ribosomal RNA", at positions 40 to 1409 of the family's 3401-position model. The record is from RNAcentral. Lineage: Eukaryota; Fungi; Ascomycota; Eurotiomycetes; Chaetothyriales; Herpotrichiellaceae.